This 458-nucleotide ribosomal RNA is filed under the name Pseudothermotoga sp. RNAcentral describes it as "bacterial SSU rRNA". It matches the Rfam family "Bacterial small subunit ribosomal RNA", at positions 1087 to 1533 of the family's 1533-position model. Lineage: Bacteria; Thermotogati; Thermotogota; Thermotogae; Thermotogales; Thermotogaceae. The record is from RNAcentral.
CCGCAACGAGCGCAACCCCUGCCCUUAGUUGCCAUCGGUUCGGCCGGGCACUCUAAGGGGACUGCCGGCGACGAGCCGGAGGAAGGAGGGGACGACGUCAGGUACUCGUGCCCUUUAUGCCCUGGGCUACACACGCGCUACAAUGGGUGGUACAAUGGGUUGCGACCCCGCGAGGGGGAGCCAAUCCCUAAAACCACCCUCAGUUCGGAUCGCAGGCUGCAACCCGCCUGCGUGAAGCCGGAAUCGCUAGUAAUCGCGGAUCAGCCACGCCGCGGUGAAUACGUUCCCGGGGUUUGCACACACCGCCCGUCAAGCCACCCGAGUCGGGGGCACCCGAAGACGCUCAUCCUAACCCGAAAGGGAGGGAGAGCGUUGAGGGUGAACCUGGUGAGGGGGGCUAAGUCGUAACAAGGUAGCCGUACUGGAAGGUGCGGCUGGAUCACCUCCUUUCUAGGGAG